This 565-nucleotide ribosomal RNA is filed under the name Oligoryzomys flavescens (yellow pygmy rice rat). RNAcentral describes it as "partial 16S ribosomal RNA". It matches the Rfam family "Bacterial large subunit ribosomal RNA", at positions 1833 to 2619 of the family's 2925-position model. Lineage: Eukaryota; Metazoa; Chordata; Mammalia; Rodentia; Cricetidae. The record is from RNAcentral.
AAAAGGUUAUUAAAAGGGCACUGCCUGCCCAGUGACUAGAGUUAAACGGCCGCGGUAUCCUGACCGUGCAAAGGUAGCAUAAUCACUUGUUCCUUAAUUAGGGACUAGAAUGAAUGGCCAAACGAGGGCUUAACUGUCUCUUAUUUCUAAUCAGUGAAAUUGACCUCCCCGUGAAGAGGCGGGGAUACUAAUAUAAGACGAGAAGACCCUAUGGAGCUUUAAUCUAUUAACUUAUUUACAUACUAAUAACAAUCUAAUGAAUCUAAAACAUAGUAAAGUAAGUUAAAGAUUUAGGUUGGGGUGACCUCGGAGAAUAAAAAAACCUCCGAAAGAUUUUAACCUAAACCAACAAGUUGAAGUAAUAUAUUUUUAUCCAAUUGAUCCAAUUAUUUGACCAACGGACCAAGUUACCCUAGGGAUAACAGCGCAAUCCUAUUCAAGAGUCCAUAUCGACAAUUAGGGUUUACGACCUCGAUGUUGGAUCAGGACAUCCUAAUGGUGCAGAAGCUAUUAAAGGUUCGUUUGUUCAACGAUUAAAGUCCUACGUGAUCUGAGUUCAGACCAG